GACGAACGCUGGCGGCGUGCUUAACACAUGCAAGUCGAACGGAAAGGCCCUGCUUUUGUGGGGUGCUCGAGUGGCGAACGGGUGAGUAACACGUGAGUAACCUGCCCUUGACUUUGGGAUAACUUCAGGAAACUGGGGCUAAUACCGGAUAGGAGCUCCUGCUGCAUGGUGGGGGUUGGAAAGUUUCGGCUGUUAGGGAUGGACUCGCGGCUUAUCAGCUUGUUGGUGGGGUAGUGGCUUACCAAGGCUUUGACGGGUAGCCGGCCUGAGAGGGUGACCGGCCACAUUGGGACUGAGAUACGGCCCAGACUCCUACGGGAGGCAGCAGUGGGGAAUAUUGCACAAUGGGCGGAAGCCUGAUGCAGCAACGCCGCGUGCGGGAUGACGGCCUUCGGGUUGUAAACCGCUUUCGCCUGUGACGAAGCGUGAGUGACGGUAAUGGGUAAAGAAGCACCGGCUAACUACGUG
RNAcentral lists this ribosomal RNA (468 nucleotides) under uncultured bacterium. RNAcentral describes it as "partial 16S ribosomal RNA". It matches the Rfam family "Bacterial small subunit ribosomal RNA", at positions 28 to 507 of the family's 1533-position model. The record is from RNAcentral.